AAUAAAGGGGUUCUUAGAUCGUACCCACGUUACUUGGAUAACUGUGGUAAUUCUAGAGCUAAUACAUGCCGACAGAGUUCCGACCAGCUGUUCGGAUGUGCGACGGCCUCGCGUCGUUCGUCGCCGUUCGGUUCGGAAGGAACGCUUUUAUUAGAUCAAAACCGGCUAAACGGCGGUUUCGCUCUUGCAGCGUUUACCGUCGUAAGCGGCCCGCGCAAAGAUUUGGUGACUCUGAAUAACUUCGAGCUGAUCGCACGGUCUUCGUACCGGCGACGUAUCUUUCAAAUGUCUGCCUUAUCAACUGUCGACGGUAGGUUCGACGCCUACCGUGGUGGUAACGGGUAACGGGGAAUCAGGGUUCGAUUCCGGAGAGGGAGCCUGAGAAACGGCUACCACAUCUAAGGAAGGCAGCAGGCGCGCAAAUUACCCACUCCCAGCUCGGGGAGGUAGUGACGAAAAAUAACGAUACGGGACUCAUUCGAGGCCCCGUAAUCGGAAUGAGUACACUACA
This 511-nucleotide ribosomal RNA is filed under the name Ferrisia gilli. RNAcentral's name for it is "bacterial SSU rRNA". It matches the Rfam family "Eukaryotic small subunit ribosomal RNA", at positions 108 to 527 of the family's 1831-position model. The record is from RNAcentral. Lineage: Eukaryota; Metazoa; Arthropoda; Insecta; Hemiptera; Pseudococcidae.